RNAcentral lists this small RNA (1070 nucleotides) under Pongo abelii (Sumatran orangutan). RNAcentral's name for it is "retained intron". The record is from RNAcentral. Lineage: Eukaryota; Metazoa; Chordata; Mammalia; Primates; Hominidae.
GUGCUGGGGUGUACAUCUACACUAGACACCUUCCUGCUUCCCUCCUUCCAGAGCAGACCUCUUUGUCACCCUGAGCUCCUUGUUUCUUAAGCAGUCAUGUCUGUGACAAAAAGUACCGAGGGUCCCCAGGGAGCCGUUGCCAUCAAAUUGGACCUUAUGUCGCCUCCUGAAAGUGCCAAGAAGUUGGAGAACAAGGACUCUACAUUCUUGGAUGAAAGUCCUUCAGAGUCAGCAGGCUUGAAGAAGACCAAGGGCAUAACAGUGUUCCAGGCCUUGAUUCACCUGGUGAAAGGCAACAUGGGCACAGGGAUCCUGGGACUACCCCUCGCUGUGAAGAACGCGGGCAUCCUGAUGGGUCCACUCAGUCUGCUGGUGAUGGGCUUCAUAGCCUGCCACUGUAUGCACAUCCUGGUCAAGUGUGCCCAGCGCUUCUGUAAGAGGCUUAACAAGCCCUUUAUGGACUAUGGGGACACAGUGAUGCAUGGACUAGAAGCCAACCCCAAUGCCUGGCUCCAGAAUCACGCUCACUGGGGAAGGCAUAUCGUGAGCUUCUUCCUUAUUGUCACCCAACUUGGCUUCUGCUGUGUGUACAUUGUGUUUUUGGCUGAUAAUUUAAAACAGGUAGAGGUUUCUAGAGAAAACGGGAGGGGAAAAGAUGGACAAGGACACGCCACUGCUAGUUGUUUGAUAAACUGCUUCUUCUCUCUGGGUCCUCAUCAAUGUAACAAAGGAAGUUAAACUAGAUGUUGUCAAACUUGCCUCCCCUAGUUCACAUAUCUGCAGAUUUCUGUGUGGUUACUUUUGCCACAAUACCCUUUGUCCAGUAUCUUAGACCUGUCCUCAAAGUUGAUCUCUACUGAACUGGAAAGACCCUUGGAUUUUGUUAAUCCUCCUGCCUUGAAGCUUAAUUAUACUUAAUGCUUCUAAAAUUGAUAUGGGUCUUCUUUUGAUGAUUCCUAAUCUUCUUUAGGUCAUCUUUCUUUUUCUUUUCUUUUUUUUUUUUUUCUGAGACAGGAUAUUGCUCUGUCACCCAGGCUGGAGUGCAGUGGUGAGAUCACAGCUCACUGCAG